Molecule: long non-coding RNA, 371 nt
Filed under: Salmo salar (Atlantic salmon)
Lineage: Eukaryota; Metazoa; Chordata; Actinopteri; Salmoniformes; Salmonidae
Description: lncRNA (ENSSSAG00000086979.1)
Source: RNAcentral
UUAUUAAAGGGUUAAGGUUAGGGUUAUUAAAGGGUUAAGGUUAGGGUUAUUAAAGGGUUAAGGUUAGGGUUAUUAAAGGGUUAAGGUUAGGGUUAUUAAAGGGUUAAGGUUAGGGUUAUUAAAGGGUUAAGGUUAGGGUUAUUAAAGGGUUAAGGUUAGGGUUAUUAAGGGUUAAGGUUAGGGUUAUUAAAGGGUUAAGGUUAGGGUUAUUAAAGGGUUAAGGUUAGGGUUAUUAAAGGGUUAAGGUUAGGGGUAUUAAAGGGUUAAGGUUAGGGUUAUUAAAGGGUUAAGGUUAGGGUUAUUAAAGGGUUAAGGUUAUUAAAGGGUUAAGGUUAGGGUUAUUAAAGGGUUAAGGUUAUUAAAGGGUUAAG